Molecule: ribosomal RNA, 757 nt
Filed under: uncultured archaeon
Lineage: Archaea
Description: bacterial SSU rRNA
Rfam family: Archaeal small subunit ribosomal RNA
Source: RNAcentral
GGAUAACCUACCCUUAGGACUGGGAUAACCCUGGGAAACUGGGGAUAAUACUGGAUAGGCAAUUAUUCCUGUAAUGGUUUUUUGUUUAAAUGUUUUUUCGCCUAAGGAUGGGUCUGCGGCCGAUUAGGUAGUUGGUUAGGUAAUGGCUUACCAAGCCUUUGAUCGGUACGGGUUGUGAGAGCAAGAGCCCGGAGAUGGAACCUGAGACAAGGUUCCAGGCCCUACGGGGUGCAGCAGGCGCGAAACCUCCGCAAUGUGAGAAAUCGCGACGGGGGGAUCCCAAGUGCCAUUCUUAACGGGAUGGCUUUUCAUUAGUGUAAAGAGCUUUUGGAAUAAGAGCUGGGCAAGACCGGUGCCAGCCGCCGCGGUAACACCGGCAGCUCUAGUGGUAGCAGUUUUUAUUGGGCCUAAAGCGUCCGUAGCCGGUUUAAUAAGUCUCUGGUGAAAUCCUGCAGCUUAACUGUGGGAAUUGCUGGAGAUACUAUUAGACUUGAGAUCGGGAGAGGUUAGAGGUACUCCCAGGGUAGAGGUGAAAUUCUGUAAUCCUGGGAGGACCGCCUGUUGCGAAGGCGUCUGACUGGAACGAUUCUGACGGUGAGGGACGAAAGCUAGGGGCGCGAACCGGAUUAGAUACCCGGGUAGUCCUAGCUGUAAACGAUGCGGACUUGGUGUUGGGGUGGCUUUGAGCUGUCCCAGUGCCGAAGGGAAGCUGUUAAGUCCACCGCCUGGGAAGUACGGUCGCAAGACUGAAACUUAA